AGGAAGGGGGGGGCAAUUUUCCAUGAGUUUGGAUUAUACAAAUGCCACAAACAGCUUCUGAGGCUGAAGCUAUGACAAUGAACUUCCAUGUCACAAAGAGGAGGAGGAAAAGGAAGGGAACAGUGCAGAGGAGACACAGUGACAUUGUAUUACAGUAGGUAUUUACGUCUGCUAUCCUCAUCCAAGGUAAGAUCAACAACCUCCGCAGGUGAAGCCCAAGUCUGCUGGGGAGUCACAGCAGUCCAUGACUGUGUUUGCCUGGUGCUGACAUACUGCGUGCCCGAACCAUGCUUCCACGAAGAAACACUCUGAAUCACACCUCCUCGAGGAUGAACACACCUGCAAUUGAGACGAAGAAUAGAAGUAUAAGCACGGUUAAUCCCACUGUAGGAAAAAUAUAAGGCAAUAUGGCUUCACUAGCACUGAAUGAUACCUUCACAAAGAUAAGCCUAUAUGAGUCUGUGAAAUGUGAGUCUGUGAAACUUCCAACCAAUAUCCUUCCCUUUUUCCUAUUUGUCUCCCUCCUUGCCUUUUGUCAAGUUUAGUCUAAAAGUGUCAGAAACUCCUGAGUUAUCUCUAGAUCUGUUACUGACAAUGCAUAGGUAACAUGAUGUUUCUCUGAACACAUUUAAACCUCUGGGGUCUUCAGGACAGGGCAGAAUACGAAUCCAGAGCAAAACUGGGAUACCCAAACAAUCUUAAUCUAACCAAACGACAUGGUAAGAAAUGUAAGUACAAGCUGUUUUAAAAUAAGUCCUAUGCCAUACUGGGAAGAAUACCUUCAAAGACAGUAAUAGUAAUACUCUUUUACAGAUUGGAUUUCUAGAAGCCUGUAAGUACUAGGUCAUGCAUAAAGGAUCAAUUUUCCUUAUCCUGAAGGUCACAACAUUACACUUGGCUCAUUCAUCUGAAGUGCUUACGUGCUUUAGUUCAGUGAAAGUAGCAAGGUUGAAGUACUCAGUUAAGGUUCUUUAAAAGUGCUUCAUCAGAGGGACAGAACUGCCUUGGUGAUAAAUCUCACCAAAAGUUCACUGGAAGAAAAAGGUUUCGAAACACUGACAUAAUGAAUUCCACAUUCCAGUCAAAUGAUAAAACUGAGCCUCCAGGAUGAAUCACUGAGUAACUGGAUUCAGAUGAGAGGAAGGCAGGCACUCAAGCUAUCAUUGCUACUUUUGUUCUCACAUCCAUCACAUCCCUAUGUAAUAUAUGUAAGAAGUGACAGCUGGCAGGAUUCUAGUCACAUUAACUACUACAGUGGAUCUUGAACAGCUGUUUAACAACCUGUGUACAAUAAGCGAUGCUGGGUCACUUGAGAAUUCCAGCUUUGAUACACUGCUACCUGCACUGUCAGGUUCAAGAGAACAUUAGGGUAACAAUGGACAAAUUUUAGCUGCAGAACUGCCCUAGGACCCCUAAGCUCCGGGAAAGAGGUCCUGUUCUUACAAAGGUAGCUUGAAAACUACUCCCUUACCGAGUGAGGUGCCGAAAAACAGAUCCCUCAGGGCCAGAGCAGAGCAGGGGGCAGAAGGUAGAUUUGUUACCGUACCAGAGGCCCAUCAUCUGUUGAGAAUGGGCUAAGCAGCUACUAGCCCAGAGGCUACUAUGUUUUCAAAGAUUAGCCAGUGAAAAGCAUUAAAAUAGGAGACAUAAAGUCCAAAGGCUAAUCCAGAUCUGUCCAACGCAUUAAGUACACUCAGAUGGAAGUGAUCAUGUAAUCACGGAAGAAUGUCAGCCAAAGGAGUCCAUUCAAUGUUUACAGAAACAGUUUUGAUGACUGAUGGCACUAGAAUACUGUUUCUUAAGCAGUCUCACCUCAUUGGACAAUCUCAACAGACCUAUGAGGUAGAUGUGGAAGUUACUAUCCAUACUCAAUCGAAAGCAAAACGGAGGGUUAAAGCGGUUACAUGAUUUGCCCAGGGUCACACUGCAUGAAAGUGGUGGGCCAAGGAGCUUCAAGCCAGGUCUGAUGUGGAGUCCAAUGCUUUUCACAACAUCACGCUGUCACUUCACAAAUAUGUAUGUUAAGUUAGGUAAGGCAAAACACAGUGAGAGUCAGCAGAGUGCAAAGAUAGGCCCAGAUUAACGACUUAAAAAUAUAAAGUUCUUCAAUAAUUCAAAAGCUCAUCUGUACAAGUACUAAUUAAAGUAAUCGUAGCUAGAAAUUUAGUAGAAUUCAGAGAAUGAAUGACUACAGAGAGAAUCGAUGUCAUCUUUGGCAGAAUUCCUAGAAAUACUUCUGAAAUAAAAGAGGUAUUUAGUUCCAACUGUUACUCUACACUGCUCCCUAAGUAAUCAUACAAGGGAUUGACUUUAAAACGGAUCUGAGCCAAUCUGCUCAUUUUACAGAAGAGAAAACCAAGGCCAAAAGGCAACUGUCCAGGGUCUGAAGCAAGGUAAGCACAGAACCCAAACAAAACGAGGUCUCCGGCAGGGAGUUUAUUUUCCACUAAGUAACUAUGCCUUCCUCAGACUACAGCUGAAGUACUGUACUGUGUCUGGUUGUAAGGAGCACUGCUUAGCCCCUGGGAGUCAUUACAGCAAAGCAGAUUCUAGAAGGUACUGAUACUAUACAAGAGUGAGAGGUGUAGAGCCACUAUUUACUACUGAGGAAUGAUGGAUAGAGGGAGAAUAAGGAGAUGAGGCACUUCAACUAUCUAAAUUGGAUCACUUCUGUAGUUAUGUUACAAAUGAUUCCAGUUACUGGAAACUACUUUAAGUACUGGACUACUUUAAGUAAAAAACAGAAUUUGUUGGAAAGACACUUGAGGACCUCAAAGAACCUAAGAAUGAUGGGAUAACUAGGCCUCAUUCACUGGACUCAAGCCCCAACCUCUCAAUCUGUUUCUCUUAUUUCAAAAUUUUAGAUUCUCUGGAGAAUGUGAUGAUUCCAUCUUUAGUCAAAAGUUCUCCUGGCUCCUAUUUAACUGUAACUAGAAGGUCAAUUCCCAAAGAAGGGAGAAUCGCCAUGGAAGAAGGUGGCUACUCCAUCUUGUACAGAGAUCUCAAGAGCAGACUAACAACCAUCAAUCAGUUUACAGAGGGAAGCUUUAGGUGAUCACGACUAUGCAACAAUUACAACUACUAUCAAAUGGAAUCAACUUCCUUUUACGCUUUCAAGCAAGUGCUGGGACAUCUAUCAGGAAUACGAAAGUAUUCUAAGAAGACUUCUAAGGUUAUCAUUGAGUUUAAAAUUUUUAAGAAUACAGGCAAAACUCUCCUUUUAGAAGUCACGGGGUGCAGUGGUGGGAAGGCUCUGACAAGAAGGUGGUGCAAGAGGGACUUCUGUUUUUUGUUUUUGUUGUGUUGUUUUGUUUUGAGAGAGAGCAAGCAAGCCAGACAGCAAGCACAAGUGGGGAAGUGGGGUAGGAGGGGCAGAAAGAGGGAGACAGAUGAUCCCAAGCAGGCUCUGCCCUGAGCACAGAGCCCCAUGCGGGACUUGAACUCACGAACCGUGAGAUCAUGACCUGAGCAGAAAUCAAGAGUUAGAUGCUUCAGUCAGUUAGCUUCAGUCAGUUAGCUGCUUCAGUCAGUUGACUGAAACACCUACGUACCCCGAGACUUCUGUUUCUUGAUCAGAGUGCUAGUUACCGGAGUAUGGGCAGUUUGUAAAAACUAAAGUGUACAUUUAUGACUUUUCUAAGUGUGUUAAAGUCAAUAAAACACUCAAAAAAUUUUUUAUGAUUUAAUGACCUCAAUCAUCUUAAAUAAAAUGGUAGCUAAGAGAUGGAGGAGGCCAGAACAAGGCUUUUAACACAUUCCCUUUUUAAAUACACAGCAAAAGGACUCAUGCUGGUAAACAAAGAGUGCUGGAGAAACAUUUCAACUAUUUUAUAAGACAGUGUACAUUAUAGAUCAACUUAUACCAGAUAGGGAAAGGUUUCAGGAGGAAAAGGGACCAGAACAAUUGUUAUAAGCCCUACAGAGAUGCCCUAUAAAAACAGAAGUGAGAGACUCAAAAUUUUGUUAAUCUAUGCACAUAAAAUAUACAGUUUCAGGUAUUAACACAUACCCUUUCCCUGUAUGAUGAAAGACACGGAGUGGGAACAUACUCAGCUGUUUUUAAGUUUGUUUGUUUAUUUUGAGAGACAGUGAGCGAACAAGCAGGAGAGGGGCAGAGAGAAGGGGAGGGAGAGAGAAACCCAAGCAAGAUCCAUGCUAUCAGUGCAGAGCCCAAUGCAGAGCUCAACCCCAUGAACUGUGAGAUCAUGACCCAGGCAGAAAUAAAAAGUUGAAUGCUUAACCCACUGAGCCACGCAGGAGUCCCAUACUCAGCUGUUUUUUUAAUUCAUCCAAACUAAUUCUAGUGUAGAUACAGGCUUUGUUUUCACAAAGCAUUUAAUCUGCAUAUGAUUGACAAUAGGUACAAAACAUAAUCUAGAGUCAUAUUUUGAGUCCUAUAUUCAAGAAAAUGCUUAGGACUCACUUCCCCCCAAAAAACCUACUUUAUAAACAGUAAGUUUUGAUAGAAUAAUUUCCUGCUCUUCAUAUACUGAAACCAAUAAAGGAGAGACUUCACAGUGGAAAAGAAAAAACAGAGAAAGAGGGCAGGCUCUCAUGGUCAGCUUUAAUACAGUUCAUUUACUAUCCUACGAAAACAACAUUAAAUAUUAAUCAUUUUUGCUCUCAUUUACAGAGCCUGAACGUGACCUCUUAGAUAACAUUCCUACUUAUUUUUCCUAGCUAAAGAUGAAGUGAAUCUUCAUGGCUUCAGAGAAAUGCCUGUCUGCCUCCCCUGCUUUUUUAGGGUUAAUGUUUACAAUUAGUUCUAGGAAGCAAUCCGUCUUAAAUGCAGAACGCUUCUAGCAUCAACUCUUCUGUUGUGGGAUGAACCAACAUUAAGACAAAUGAACACAGGACCAAAGACUACAGUGAGUGAGGUUAGGAUCUGAUUAUUCCCAAAAGCCUCAGAGGACAGGUAUCAAAGAAACUGUUCUAACAGUUCCAUAACAGAAAGAUCUGUGCUAUAUCCAUUUAUCUUCCUAGGGCAAUUACCAAUGAAGCUGGUAGAAGAAAAGGAAAAAGGAAAAAGAAAAGUAUCGGCAUGAGGGCCACAAAUUAAAAGUUCUGGCAAAAUUAUGUGGGCACAGAGGAGCUAGAGGUGCUGUAAAAGUCUCUAUAAUUUGCAAAGAACAUCUUGUGAAACUGGACUGUCCAAAAAUUAACUCCUAGAAAUGAUAACAUUUAGGUAACACAGCGAGUUAAUUACAACAAUACAAGGCAGCCAUAAAAGAUGCAUUCAAACCAUUAGUUCAGAAGGCAUGCUUUCUAGUCUAUGAUUACAAGAAACACAGAAGCUAAAGGAACAUAUCAAAUCUAAAUUAAAAGAACAGGUAAAGAUAUUAACAUGCAAGAAAAGAAAAACUUAAAAAAAAAAAAAAGACACACUGUAACUAAAAUUACUGAGUGCAAUGUCAAACAAAAUUCUUCCAAUAAGGAAAAACGGCAAUGCAAUGCAAAUCAGAGCAUUCCCAAAGAGAAAAGCUCAAGAACCAAUUCUGAGUUUUUGAAAACUCUCAGCCCACAACAAGGUAGAAUACCAAAAAGAAAAAAUAAGAACAGGACAACUAAAUCCAAACAAAACAUCUAUGCAUGCAAAUCAAAUUAGAACAAAAAGAUGUGGAUCAAAACCUAAAACCUUUUUCCAAGCGAUAACCCUGCCAGAAGCCCAUCAAUACUUCAUAACUGCAACCCUAGACCUGUAAAAGAAAUAAAUUCCAGAUGAGAUACAGGCAGCCAAGAGUAACUCUGAAGCAACCAACAAGAAAACUUCUCCCCCCACCUGCUCCUCAGCUUUUAAUCUCAAUUACUUGGAAGAUUACCAUGCUUCCUCUAAAGAAAGUGCUAGAAAAUGUUCAGAAAGACACAAAAGAGCCAGUAAGACUCUAUUCAGUCCUCAACCCGAAGACCAAAAUAAAAGACCCUCUCAGAAUGACACAAGCAUCAGCUCAAAGUACUCUAACGAAACUUCUCAACGCCAACAUUCUAUUGUAUGGGCAGCAUUAACCACCACUGAGAUUUCAUAAUACAUUUGUCACCUCUAAGACUGUAUUCCACAGGAUUCAAACCAAAGUAUCAGAAUACAUCUUUAUGCUUCAGAGCCUGUGAGGAAAAAGUCCUUGAAAGUAAUGUUAUGUACUGUAUGUUAUUUAAAAUGUAGUCAGCCACUUGACUUAGUUCAAGAGUGGAACAAACAUAUCUAUAGAGUAAAAUGACAAUCUGGAUAAAAGACCUAAUAAGUAUGGAGAAGGGUGUACUAGACAAAGUGUGUGUGUGUGUGUGUGUGUGUGUGUGUGUGUGUGUUGGGAGUGGGUAGGAACUUAAAAUUUAAAUUUCUGAGUUUUAAGAGAAAUAUAAUGAUAAUUUUAACUCCGGAUACCAAAAAUAUUGGUAGAAAAAAAGAAGCUAAGGAGUUCAUGAUGGAAGAAAAGUUGAACAAAGAAGCCAAGAAGAAGGGUGGCUCACUCUGUAACAUUUGUAGGCACAAGUAAACAGUAAAGAAGGGAGACUUGAUAUAAGUUAAUAGAGAACUGAACCAAGUAACAUGUUUCGAGAGAGAAAGAGAUUAAGUAAUAAGCAACACAGGUUAUUACCCACUCUUUGCUACUUCAGUAGGAACACAUGACUAACAGUGAAUUAAAAUUUGAAAUGUAACUCAAGACAAAAUUGGUGAAUGGAUAAUGUGCAAACUGAAGAUAAUUUACCUGUAUCAAUCUGUUAAUAGGCAAGGUAAGGUUUACAGUAGGGAAUAAAAGGAUACUCAUGUCUUCUUUAUUGCAAGGGACAAUGGUGAAAUAAAUAAUGGCAAACACAUGCUAAAGUAAAGGAAAAAACCUUUCAUCUAAAGAGGUAAGUCAACAUGAAAGGAACAGAUUAAAAAAAAGAGAGAACAGGAAAAAGUACUUGAUUAAGGCAGAAAAAAAAAAAAAGGAAAAAGAAUGAGAUUAAGGAAAGACAGAAGAACGAAAAUUCUUUCCCACCAGAAAAGGGGAAAUAAUCAUUAAACACAGGAAAGAAAAAAGGAAGCAGCUAUGCAGGAAUACUUCUGGCAUAAACACAGGACAGAAGAUGGAAGUGGUUAGGUCUGAUAAAGUGAACUGGCCGCUUUUGGGGAGAAGACAUGUUAAACUAUGACAUAAUUCUACAACCUUAAAGUCCCAACAGGUAUGACCUGAAAAAUGCUCUCAGAAAGGAGAAUCAGUUCUAAGACAAAGGUACCUUCGAUUUAUACGCAUGUGUAUUUUGCCUGCGCUCUCCCCUGCUAAGUUCACUUUCUACAUAAACAACAGAAGAAAUGCUGGUGAAUGUUUUCCUUUCUAACCAAAGAGUAAAACCAGAUCUAAGAGCCAGGUAAUGUAGAUAUUGUGUAGAUAUAUGUAUCUACUUGGGGAAAUCAGGAAAGAAAUCACAACUUAACUCUUGCAGCAUAGAAGAAAAGUUGUUUGCUAUAUAGAACACAGAUUUUCUGGAGUCUAAAUUUUUGUUUUCUAUAUAAAUGUGUGUGUGUGUGUGUGUGUGUGUGUGUGUGUGUGUGUUAAAUGUUCCUCAGGAAUACCUCUGAGAGGACUAUAACCAAUUCUUAGGAACACUAUCUAAAGCAAGAAUCAGCAAAUGUUUUUCUACAUGGGGCUAGACAGUUAAUUACCUUAGGCUUUGAGGGCUAUCAGGUGUCUGUUGAAACUUCUUCUCAACUCUGCCACUGGAAUGCAACAGCAGCCACAAACAAUACGUAAAUGAACAAGCAUGGCUCCAUCCCAAUAAAAUUUUAUUUAUGGAUAAAUAUACUGUAUUUACGUGAAUUUCAUAAAACUUCCACAAGUCAUAAAACAUCAUUCUUCUUUUGAUCCCGUCCCCCCUCAACCAUUUCACAAUGUAAACUAGGGGUGCCUGGGUGGCUCAGUGGGUUAAGCAUCUGACUCCAGCUCAGGUCAUGAUCUUGCAGUUCAUGAGUUUGAGCCCUGCCUUCAGGCUCUGUGCUGGCAGCUCAGAGCCUGGAGCCUGCUUCGGAUUCUGUGUCUCCCUCUCUCUGCCCCUCCCCUGCUCACACUCUGUCUCUCUCUCAAAAUAUUAAAUACUAAAAAAAAAAAAAAAAUUUUUUUUUUUUUAAUUAAAAAGUAAACUAGUCUUAGCACAAGGUCCAUAUAAAAACAGGCAGCAGACCAGUGGGCUAUAGUUUGCUCACCCUUAUCUUAAAGAAUGACAAACUUCAAAAGUUAUUUUCAGAACUCUAGACAAAUUUGAUGUCUUGUGGCUUUUAAUCCUAAAAAUAGGACUGCCUGAGUCACAUGAACAUCACUAGAAAUAUACUAUGUUAGGAAUAGGCCAAAGUAACUCGCAGGUUUUAAUGAACGACAAGAAGAGGUGCUUUAGGAAACAAGCAAUACAGGUAUGAUGUCAGAUGUAUAUUUCCCAAUUGUUUGCUCCCAACACAUUUCAAGAUAAAGUGAAAGGCAAGAAAAUAUGAAUGACAGGGGGAAAGGUAGGAUGACACUAUGCCAUAAGAGAAAAAUCUGUCAAGGUAUCUAGACAUUUGCUAAAAAUAUGAGGAAAACAUCAGUUCUGUUUCACAUGCAUGUAUGGUUGAGAUGUUCUUGAUAGAAGAUGCAACACAUUCUCAAGCUCAUUAUCAUGUCUAAUCAAAAAGCAUUUUCUAAGCCACAGGAAGCUACGAGAUAGCUCCCACCAUUCAUGCCAGCCAUGCCAUGAGGACUACCACUUUCUUCUCACUUUAUGGUUAAAAUCAAAUUCACAUUUAAAAUAUCAGAAUGCUCCACUGAAUGUCCUACCUUGCAUGUUCCUGAACUCCCACAAUCUCCACUUCACUAUCUGAAGAGGCAAUAUUAAUUUCUUCAUUGAGUGGUACAUUGCCAGCCGAUGUCUUGUCACUUGCUAGGAAUCCUGGAUCCAAAUGACCUGAGAGAGAAGAGGGGUAAAAUAAGCACUACAGUCUGACUUCUUACAAGCAGCAUGAAACACUCAUUGACAGAUUUCCCAUCCAGGUUAAUCACAGAAACAGAAUUGCCACAUGAGAGCUUGGCAGAGUGAAACUGUCAAGUCUCUCAUUCUCUAUUCAUUAGGAGGAAAAAAAACUAAGUACUUUAGUAAAUAGGUAUAUAUAAACUAUGAUAAUAAUCUAUUAUAUUUUAUUCCGUAAUGCUUUUUGCAUUCAACUCUAGUCUCCUUUUAAAUGACCUGUAUAACAGGUUUGUCACCACCUAGAGGGCAAUAAGGUUCUCUACUGCUUACUGGUAAAUUUUAUUAUUUAUUUAUUUACUUACUUACUUAUUUACUUACUUAUUUAUUUAUUUUUAAGUAGGCUCCACAACCAUUGUGGGGCUUGAACUCAUGACCCUGAUAUCAGGAAUCACAACUCUUCUGACUGAGCCAACCAGGCACCACCACCACCACCACCACCCUCCCCACCCCAGGGUAAAUUUUAACAGAACAAAAUUCUAAAGCAGAAAAGCUCAAAGGCAUAAAUAGAAUAAAUAACAGAGGUACUCAUUAAUAUCAUAUUUACACUGGAAUGCUUUAUGAAAGUUUUAACAAACUUCUUUUAAACAACUUUAACAGUUUUUCUCAAAAGGAAUGUAGAAUUGACAAAAUCUGACCCAAAACCACAUCUAAAAGAAAAGGCUAGAGGCAGAUCACAAUUUUUGUUCUGAGCAACUAAAACAUAACCUGUACAUUGCUGACAGCUCUUAUUAGAAAGAAACCACAUAUUCUGAAAAAGCAUGACAAUUUGUGGCAGUGGGACAUAUAAGAACUUUUCCACAAGGGGCUUCACAAAGCAUCUAUUACACGGUAGAAUAUAACAUUCUCCCAACUCACAGAAAACAUGAGCUUCACAGAACUCUCUCUCAACAAAGGCUAAGAGCAUAACAUCAAAGUACACAGCCAUAUAAACAAUUCUAACAAGAGUUAAAAUAGUUCAGCUUAUGUAUCCAGCUCUUAAAUGUUCUGACCUUUAUGAAAUAGAAUAUCUAGGAGUCAACAUGAAAUAAACCAAGUUGCAACAGGCACAAAUUUUCAAUUACUCUUUAAAGGGUGUUUUUAUUUAAAUAUAUUAUCAUCUGAUACAAUACUGUUCCUCCAUAUUUAAAAAAAAAAAUCCUUGGUGACACUUCAUAUAAACGAAGCACGUAUCAGUAAGAUUUUACACACACAACUCUCCCUUCUUCCUCCAUCACCUUCACAUCAUUCAUACCAAUGUUUCAAGGUCACUGAGAAACCUUGUACUUCCAUACUCCUGCGAACUUUUAGUAUAACUCUCUUGGAAAAUGAUACACAGUCACAAAGCAAAAGUCUUACAAUUUCUAUACCCUCUGACCUUGUAAUCCCAUCUCUGAGAAUUUAAUUUAGUCCAAGGGAAAAAACUUUAAAUAAGCAAAAUGUUAUGAGGUCCAAAGAUAGUGACUACAGUCUAUGUAGAAACUUGGGGAAACAUAUGCAUAACACAGAAAGUGUCACGUACAACACUUUAAAAAUAUUUUGGUGCUGGGUGAAAGUUGUAAAAAGCAAUCAAGCUUGACUUGGACUGUGGGUCUUUUUUAUAAUUCUUUAAUAUUACUUUUACUUUUUUCUUCAACUGAACAUGACACUGAUGAGAAAAAAGACUAAAAAGCUUAAAAUGGCUUCCAGAUACAACAGGUAAUUGAGAUUAUAUUACAGUUUGCAAGGGCUUGUUAAACUUUCUGUAUUAACGAAUAGCCUAAAUAGGAUUCUACACACUGGCAGUGGGUAAAUAUCUUUGAAGGUCACAAGCAAAUGAAAGGUGGCAUUCACCAGAUAAAGCCCAGUUUUGUUAAAAUCUGGAUUGGUUGCUUAAAUGAAGUAUGGUUAAAUCUUGAUUUGGUAAACUCAGAUUCUUGCUCUGAUGCCAGUACCUUGUUUGUGGCCAAGUCUUUUGUCUAAUUUCUAGUUCAAUGUUGAAGUUAGAACUAUCAUCAUAUACACUAUUCCUACUACACUUCUAGGAAAGAAUACAAAUUGAUAGUCUCUUUUUUCAAACCUUCAACUUGUCCAUAUUCAAUCUUUUCAGCAGCCUUGCUUUGUGCAACUAUAACAAUUUGCUUCUUCUAUUUGUUCCUACAAUAAAUACUUAUUUAUGACAUGCUAUGCACUAGGUGCUAAGAAUACUAUAGAGAUCAAAGACAGGAGGUGCAGUGCCUAUGCUCAACUCAACGAGCUCACGAUAUACUUGGGGAUUCGAAAAAGCAGUACCUUAUACUAUGGCUUGAAAAUUGCUGGGGGGUCUGGGGGGCUCAGUUGGUUCAAUGUCCAACUCUUGAUUUCAGCUCAGGUCAUGAUCCCAGGGGUCGUGGGAUCGAACCCCACUUUAGACUCUGCACCGAGCAUGGAGCCUGAGAUUCUCUCCCUCUGCAGCUUGUUCUCUCUCUCUCUCUCUCUCUCUCUCUCUCUCUCUCUCAAAGUAAAAGGGGAUGGCUCAGUCUGUUAAGUGUCCAUCUCUUGAUUUUGGCUCAGGUCAUAAUCUCACAGUUUGUGAGUUUGCACCCCGCAUCGGGCUCCAUGCUGACAGUGCACAGCCUGCUUAGGAUUCUCUCUCUCCCUCUCUCUCUGCCUCUCCCCUGCUCACUUUCACUCUCAAAAUAAAUAAACUUUUUAAAAAAGUUUAAAAAAGAAAAAGAAAAAAAAAGAAAAUUGCUCAGUCAGAGAGCAAUUUAAAGAUAUGGAAAAGGGAGGGAGUACCUGCGUGGCUCAGUCAAUUAAGGGUCUGACUCUUGAUUUCAGCUCAGGUCAUGAUCUCAUGGUUCAUGGGUUUGAGUCCAGCAUUAGGCUCUGCACUAACAGUGUGAAGCCUUCUUGGGAUUCUCUUUCCCUCUCUCUCUGCCCUGCCCCCACUCACCCUCCCUCCCUCUCUCAAACAAACAUUUUCAAUGCUUUUUUUUUUUUUAAUGUUUAUUUAUUUUUGACACGGAGAGAGACAGAGCAUGAACGGGGGGAGGAGCAGAGAGAGAGAGGGAGACACAGAAUCCCAAACAGGCUCCAGGCUCUGAGCUGUCAGCACAGAGCCCGAUGCGGGGCUCGAACCCACGGACCGUGAGAUUGUGACCUGAGCCGAAGUCGGACACUUAACCAACUGAGCCACCCAGGCACCCCUAAACAAACAUUUUCAAAAAAAUAAAAAAGACAUAGAAAAGGGAAAUUUCCCAGACUUAAGAAUAAUCAAAGACACAGACAGAGCUCUCAGGAAACAGUAGGCACAGAUGAGAGGAAGUAGCAAUACGGAACACUGUGUUGCCCUUUAGGGUAUAAAAGUUCAGUGAGAUGUGGGGUAAUAAUAUAGUAAAAGCAGUAAUGGGAAACAAGGCUGGCAAAGUCAACAGAGUUCAGAUCAUAGUAAGAAGUCUGGAACUUGACCUUGAGAAGUAGGAAACCACUGAGGAAUUUAAGCACUGACAUGAUCUGAUUUUCCAUUUUUAAAAAUUGCUUUUUGGCGUGUAGAAAUGGAACUAAUAUCAAAGCAGGGAAUAUUAGAGGCAAGAAAACCAGUUAGACUGCUAUCCUGGAUGAGAAAGGACUAUGGCUGAACUAGAAAAGAAACAAAAUGGGGAACAGUCUGUGUGCGUGUAUACACAGACAGUUAGUAAUGGUGGGCAAUUCAAAGUAAAAAAUGAUGGCUAGGUUUCUGAUUUAGGUAACCAGAUAGAGUAACAGUGCCCUUUGGUGCACCAAUGAACAGCUGAGGAUGGUUGCUUAGGACGUGAUAAGGACAUGCUUCUGAGAUGUCCACGGGGCAGCUGGAGGUACUGUUCUAAAAACUCAUGUCAGAGCUCGAGGGAGAAAUAAAGAGUCCUCAGCAACAGCUGGGAAGGUAAAAGUUAACAAGAGGAACAAAGAGGGCCUAGAGCAGAAUGCUGACGAACACCAAUAAUUAAGGGUGGGCACAUGAAGGGGAGCUCACCAGGUUAAGUGAGAGGUAGUAAGAAAACCUUAAGAUGUGAAGCCAGGACACCAUGGAAUGAUCAUUUCUAGGAAGAAGUGCUUAUCAAUGCCCAACAGAGAGGUUCAGUGAGAAGAGGGACUAAGUAGAGUCCACUAGAAUCAGUAGUGAGAUGACUACACAUAUACCUUGGCAAGAAGAGCCUCAGGAGCGAUAGGUAUAAAGCCAAUGUGGCAAGGCAAGCUGAAUGAUAAUGCAAAGUCAGGAAGAGCAGACACAUUUAAACAGUUAUGCUAUGAAAGAAAAGGCAACAGGAUAGUACUGAGAAAGAAAAAAAUGCGUUUGAGGGAGGGGAAUGCAUGUGUAUGAAUAAUCUUAAAAGAUGGGAGAGACCUGGCCAAAUUUGGGGGGGAAAGGCAGAGAACAAACAGAUGUGAUGGCAGAAGGCUGAGGCAAUCUGCAUCUGUGAAGAAUGCGGGAAGGCCAUGUGCAGAGCACAGGUAUGGGUAGGGUAGCAGGGUGGGGUUCAGAAAAGUGAAGGAACACUAUGAAGAAAGAACACUGCCUAAGGAAAGACAGGAUCUGCUGGGCAGCACUGAGAGCAGGCUGCAGAUUAGGAAGUUAAACUCAACCCUCAGCUCUGCAGCUAUGUGAUUUUCUUCCAGCUACGUUAAGCAGCGUGACACAGGCUCCAAGUGUGCGUACAGGGAUCUGACUUUGCCAGCUGGGUACACCAGGAAAGCUGGGGAGCUGGCGAAGGAGAGGUGAGCUUAAACAUGCUAGAGUGGGUAAGAAGUGAAGCCAGCAGGGGGCUGGCAAAGGACCGGGUGGCAGGUCAGUGAGGCAGAAGAGCAGUGCAAAGGAAGUAACAGCAUGAGAGGACAGAAGAGGCCCCCGUGGAAAAGGAGAAAGCAAGAUCAAGAAUAGGAGGAAAACCAGUGGUUAGGGGAAGUAAACACCGUAAUUCAACCCUCUUGGCUACCCACAAACACAAGCCUCUGGGACCCAUCCAUUGCUCUCCAGUCUGGUCCUCUACUCGGCUGCUACUCUCCCUUGCUCCAUCCAGCCACCCACUACUUACCUUCCUACAACCUUUCCACUGCCCUCUGGAAUGUCAGCUCCAUGGAAAACUGCACUGAGCUUUUCCUUUCACCUCCCCUGUGGAAACUGAACUCCUGAAAAUGCCACCUAGCCUGACUGCUGCUAGGUAGCUGCUCCUACACCUGACUUUCAGGACCAGAAUCACUGACAAAUCCUGUUGUCCAUCCUCAUGUACCAACACCAGCAGCCCCUAUCUCCCAGGGCACUUCCCUUGACUGCCAAAUACCAACUCCAGGACGGUUUCACUCAUCCAUGAAACAUUACUGGCACCUCACUUAGUCUCUAUUUUAUGUCCCGCUAUCAUGAUUCCUUAUUCUUAUAUGAGUGCUCAUUAUUUAUGUGGACAACCACUCCAAAAUUCUCCAUGCCUACUCUCUAAGCAGCUGAGCCCCAAGAGGCACUUAAAACUCCCUGUAGGGGCGCCUGGGUGGCUUGGUCGGUUAAGCGUCCGACUUCGGCUCAGGUCAUGAUCUCACGGUCCGUGGGUUCGAGCCCCGCGUCGGGCUCUGUGCUGACAGCUCAGAGCCUGNAAGGCAAGCUGAAUGAUAAUGCAAAGUCAGGAAGAGCAGACACAUUUAAACAGUUAUGCUAUGAAAGAAAAGGCAACAGGAUAGUACUGAGAAAGAAAAAAAUGCGUUUGAGGGAGGGGAAUGCAUGUGUAUGAAUAAUCUUAAAAGAUGGGAGAGACCUGGCCAAAUUUGGGGGGGAAAGGCAGAGAACAAACAGAUGUGAUGGCAGAAGGCUGAGGCAAUCUGCAUCUGUGAAGAAUGCGGGAAGGCCAUGUGCAGAGCACAGGUAUGGGUAGGGUAGCAGGGUGGGGUUCAGAAAAGUGAAGGAACACUAUGAAGAAAGAACACUGCCUAAGGAAAGACAGGAUCUGCUGGGCAGCACUGAGAGCAGGCUGCAGAUUAGGAAGUUAAACUCAACCCUCAGCUCUGCAGCUAUGUGAUUUUCUUCCAGCUACGUUAAGCAGCGUGACACAGGCUCCAAGUGUGCGUACAGGGAUCUGACUUUGCCAGCUGGGUACACCAGGAAAGCUGGGGAGCUGGCGAAGGAGAGGUGAGCUUAAACAUGCUAGAGUGGGUAAGAAGUGAAGCCAGCAGGGGGCUGGCAAAGGACCGGGUGGCAGGUCAGUGAGGCAGAAGAGCAGUGCAAAGGAAGUAACAGCAUGAGAGGACAGAAGAGGCCCCCGUGGAAAAGGAGAAAGCAAGAUCAAGAAUAGGAGGAAAACCAGUGGUUAGGGGAAGUAAACACCGUAAUUCAACCCUCUUGGCUACCCACAAACACAAGCCUCUGGGACCCAUCCAUUGCUCUCCAGUCUGGUCCUCUACUCGGCUGCUACUCUCCCUUGCUCCAUCCAGCCACCCACUACUUACCUUCCUACAACCUUUCCACUGCCCUCUGGAAUGUCAGCUCCAUGGAAAACUGCACUGAGCUUUUCCUUUCACCUCCCCUGUGGAAACUGAACUCCUGAAAAUGCCACCUAGCCUGACUGCUGCUAGGUAGCUGCUCCUACACCUGACUUUCAGGACCAGAAUCACUGACAAAUCCUGUUGUCCAUCCUCAUGUACCAACACCAGCAGCCCCUAUCUCCCAGGGCACUUCCCUUGACUGCCAAAUACCAACUCCAGGACGGUUUCACUCAUCCAUGAAACAUUACUGGCACCUCACUUAGUCUCUAUUUUAUGUCCCGCUAUCAUGAUUCCUUAUUCUUAUAUGAGUGCUCAUUAUUUAUGUGGACAACCACUCCAAAAUUCUCCAUGCCUACUCUCUAAGCAGCUGAGCCCCAAGAGGCACUUAAAACUCCCUGUAGGGGCGCCUGGGUGGCUUGGUCGGUUAAGCGUCCGACUUCGGCUCAGGUCAUGAUCUCACGGUCCGUGGGUUCGAGCCCCGCGUCGGGCUCUGUGCUGACAGCUCAGAGCCUGGAGCCUGUUUCAGAUUCUGUAUCUCCCUCUCUCUCUGCUCCUCCCCUGUUCAUGCACUGUCUCUCUCUGCCUCAAAAAAAAAUAAAUAAAUGUUAAAAAAAAUUUUUUUUUUAAAAUAAAACUCCCUGUAGUAGGGGCACCUGGGUGGCUCAGUUGGAUAAGCGUCCAACUUCGGCUCAGGCCAUGAUCUUGCAGUUUGUGGGUUUGAGCCCUGCAUUAGGCUCUGUGCUGACAGCUCAGAGCCUGGAUCCUGCUUGGGAUUCUGCAUCUCUCUCUCUCUCUCUCUGCCCCUCUCCCGCUUGUACUCUGUCUCUCUCUCUCAAAAAUAAACAAACUUUAAAAAAACACACAAAACAAACCUCCCUGUGGUAGACUCACAGCAAAGGGCUCAGCCCUUACCAUCCCCAAANAACAAAGAGGGCCUAGAGCAGAAUGCUGACGAACACCAAUAAUUAAGGGUGGGCACAUGAAGGGGAGCUCACCAGGUUAAGUGAGAGGUAGUAAGAAAACCUUAAGAUGUGAAGCCAGGACACCAUGGAAUGAUCAUUUCUAGGAAGAAGUGCUUAUCAAUGCCCAACAGAGAGGUUCAGUGAGAAGAGGGACUAAGUAGAGUCCACUAGAAUCAGUAGUGAGAUGACUACACAUAUACCUUGGCAAGAAGAGCCUCAGGAGCGAUAGGUAUAAAGCCAAUGUGGCAAGGCAAGCUGAAUGAUAAUGCAAAGUCAGGAAGAGCAGACACAUUUAAACAGUUAUGCUAUGAAAGAAAAGGCAACAGGAUAGUACUGAGAAAGAAAAAAAUGCGUUUGAGGGAGGGGAAUGCAUGUGUAUGAAUAAUCUUAAAAGAUGGGAGAGACCUGGCCAAAUUUGGGGGGGAAAGGCAGAGAACAAACAGAUGUGAUGGCAGAAGGCUGAGGCAAUCUGCAUCUGUGAAGAAUGCGGGAAGGCCAUGUGCAGAGCACAGGUAUGGGUAGGGUAGCAGGGUGGGGUUCAGAAAAGUGAAGGAACACUAUGAAGAAAGAACACUGCCUAAGGAAAGACAGGAUCUGCUGGGCAGCACUGAGAGCAGGCUGCAGAUUAGGAAGUUAAACUCAACCCUCAGCUCUGCAGCUAUGUGAUUUUCUUCCAGCUACGUUAAGCAGCGUGACACAGGCUCCAAGUGUGCGUACAGGGAUCUGACUUUGCCAGCUGGGUACACCAGGAAAGCUGGGGAGCUGGCGAAGGAGAGGUGAGCUUAAACAUGCUAGAGUGGGUAAGAAGUGAAGCCAGCAGGGGGCUGGCAAAGGACCGGGUGGCAGGUCAGUGAGGCAGAAGAGCAGUGCAAAGGAAGUAACAGCAUGAGAGGACAGAAGAGGCCCCCGUGGAAAAGGAGAAAGCAAGAUCAAGAAUAGGAGGAAAACCAGUGGUUAGGGGAAGUAAACACCGUAAUUCAACCCUCUUGGCUACCCACAAACACAAGCCUCUGGGACCCAUCCAUUGCUCUCCAGUCUGGUCCUCUACUCGGCUGCUACUCUCCCUUGCUCCAUCCAGCCACCCACUACUUACCUUCCUACAACCUUUCCACUGCCCUCUGGAAUGUCAGCUCCAUGGAAAACUGCACUGAGCUUUUCCUUUCACCUCCCCUGUGGAAACUGAACUCCUGAAAAUGCCACCUAGCCUGACUGCUGCUAGGUAGCUGCUCCUACACCUGACUUUCAGGACCAGAAUCACUGACAAAUCCUGUUGUCCAUCCUCAUGUACCAACACCAGCAGCCCCUAUCUCCCAGGGCACUUCCCUUGACUGCCAAAUACCAACUCCAGGACGGUUUCACUCAUCCAUGAAACAUUACUGGCACCUCACUUAGUCUCUAUUUUAUGUCCCGCUAUCAUGAUUCCUUAUUCUUAUAUGAGUGCUCAUUAUUUAUGUGGACAACCACUCCAAAAUUCUCCAUGCCUACUCUCUAAGCAGCUGAGCCCCAAGAGGCACUUAAAACUCCCUGUAGGGGCGCCUGGGUGGCUUGGUCGGUUAAGCGUCCGACUUCGGCUCAGGUCAUGAUCUCACGGUCCGUGGGUUCGAGCCCCGCGUCGGGCUCUGUGCUGACAGCUCAGAGCCUGGAGCCUGUUUCAGAUUCUGUAUCUCCCUCUCUCUCUGCUCCUCCCCUGUUCAUGCACUGUCUCUCUCUGCCUCAAAAAAAAAUAAAUAAAUGUUAAAAAAAAUUUUUUUUUUAAAAUAAAACUCCCUGUAGUAGGGGCACCUGGGUGGCUCAGUUGGAUAAGCGUCCAACUUCGGCUCAGGCCAUGAUCUUGCAGUUUGUGGGUUUGAGCCCUGCAUUAGGCUCUGUGCUGACAGCUCAGAGCCUGGAUCCUGCUUGGGAUUCUGCAUCUCUCUCUCUCUCUCUCUGCCCCUCUCCCGCUUGUACUCUGUCUCUCUCUCUCAAAAAUAAACAAACUUUAAAAAAACACACAAAACAAACCUCCCUGUGGUAGACUCACAGCAAAGGGCUCAGCCCUUACCAUCCCCAAAAUAAACAAGAUAACUGAAUUAAACCAAACUAAAAAAGCAGGUUGUGGGAGUCAUGGUUUCUAUAACUAUAGUUAUUACUAUAAUUGUAACUAAAAUAUAGUUAUAUUUGAUUACCCAAAUCUUUUCAACAGUAAUUAAGAAAACACGACAAGAAUACGACAGAAUUAGUUCUUAGUGCCUCUGUGCCCAGUUCUAUCUCCAUAGUUCUUUUUUAAUUUUUUUUAAUCUGAGGGUAGCCCGCAAUUCUAAUUUAUGAUUCCAACUUGUGAAAUGUUCUGCCCCAGUCAUCAGUAUUUCUAAAUAACCGGUCUUCACUGAUUAGGUCCCUCAUUAUUAUAACCAUAUCACCUACAGAACCUCAUUUCAGAUCUAGAAAUAUCAUCACUCUUUUUUAAAGAAAGGGGAAGAAAUGAAAAUUACUAUGCUACUUUUGCUCACAAUUUUAUUACAAUAUCUUAAGAAAAACAAGGUAACUGUCACCAAUAUUUAAGAUUCUUCUAACUUUAUUCAUUCAUUAUGGAUCUAGAAACUAGUAAUUUACAUACUGACUUCAUAUUAGAGCAAUUCAAAUCAUUCUGGCGGUGCAAUUUGGGCCAUAAAAAUUGUAAUCCAACCUUGCUGGUAUUUACAGAACUUGUGUGAUGUUCUAAAAUUGAUCACUUAAAAUCAGGUUCUCUGAUAACCAGUAUCUUUACUGCUUAGUCUAAAAAUCGGUAUCAAAUAGGAGCUCCUGGGUGGCUCAGUUGAUUAAGCAUCCGGCUUCGGCUCAGGUCAGGAUCUUGCGGUUUUUGAGUUCGAGCCCCGCAUCAGGCUCUGUGCUGAUGCUCAGAGCCUGAAGCCUGCUUCAGAUUCUGUGUCUCCCCUUCUCUCUGCCCCUCUCCUGCUCAUGCUCUGUCUCUGUUUUUCAAUAAUAAACAAAAAAAAUAUUUUUUUUAAAUCAGUAUCAAAUAAAAUAAGGGAUACUGAAGAAAGUGAUAGGGACUAAAUACAAAUUUCUUGGUGAAUAUUAACUCUAGACUAAUGGUGUGAGAGUUGUGCCACAUUUCCUGUCAGAGCCAUUAGAUAAAAUGUGCCAUUCAGAUAACAAGUCAGCUGAGACCCCACCAAGUCUAUGGGAUGCCAUGCUCUACAAGAGACACCAAGGCUUUCUCCAACGGCCAGGAAUACAUCCCCUCUUCUUUCUAUUUCAGACCCAGGACUAUUAGUCCUUUUCUCUCAGUGUAACACUCUUCAGAAUGCCAUACAUUCCUCUGGGAGCUCCUGUGCAGGGCUUAGUUCUCUGGCCCCUGGGCCAUCCUCCACUGUCAUCCCUCCAACUUGUGACCUCAUAGGAAUCCAAUGACAGAGCAAUGGCCAAAGCAUACACAAAAGUGAGUCUCAAAGAUGCUAUGGAGUUCUCAAACUGUCAAUGGCAAUUAAUCUUUCCUGUUUCAGGAUAAGAAUAAGCCCUGUAGAGAAAGUGUAAAUACCACAAUUACCAUAUAUUAAACUGAAAGUAAAUCACAGGACUUAUAUUUUAUUGGGGCAGGAAGCCCUCUCUAUGCAGCUCUUUGCCUGUGUGGCUCUUUGGAAAGAUAACUUCAUGUACUCUAUAAGAAAAUUCUAAAUUUUCGUCCUCCCACUACAGACAUUUUCAACACACAAGUCAGAAAGAAACAGCAUAAAAAAGUAACUAAAUCAUCAUGGCAAACAUUUUUUUUUUUGUCUUCAAAGAAAUAAUGUAGCUACUUUUUUCUUAAGGACAAAUCAUUUUACUUUUUCUUUUUAUUUUUUAGAGAAAGUGUGCACACAUAAGUGGGGAGGGUGAGGGGGGGAGGGAGGAGGGAGAAGUGAGGAGAAGGGAGGAGAGAGAAGGGAGAAGAGAGAAGGGAGAAGGGGGGAGAAGGGAGAGGGAAUAUCUUAAGCAGGCUCCACACUCAGCACGGAGCCUGAUCCCAUGACCGUGGGAUCAUGACCUGAGCCGAAAUCAAGAUUCAGACUCUCAACCAACUGAGCCACCGAGGCACCCCAAUGUAGUUAUUUUUUAAAUCACAAAUCUACUGAGGAAGAACCAGUCCUGAACUGAUUUGCAGCACAUUAAAGGAAAUUAUUACAUACCGGAUGACAACAGCCUCUUAAGUAUAAAAAAGGUUAAUAUCUCAAGUCACUAUUCACUUAGUUUUAAACCAAGUAGUAAAUUAUUACCUUGUAUUUAGUUUUUUCAGUAAGAAUGUUUUAAAAAAGCUUUAAAAAGUAGGGGAAGAAGGGGGCCUGGGUGGCUCAGUCGGUUGAGCAUCUGAUUCUUGACUUCGGCUCGGGUCGUGAUCCCAAGGUUGUGGGAUCAAGCCCCACGUGAGGUGCUGAGAGUGGAGCCUGCUUAGGAUUCUCUCUCUCCCUCCUUCUGUCCCUCCCCCCACUCAUGUACCCUCACUUUCUCUCUAAAAUAAUAAAAUGAAAAAAAUUUUUUUUAAAGUUGGGGAAGAGAGGGUCAGAAAUCUAAAAUCAUAUAUAGUCCAUACAAAACAGGUAAAAAUAAGUGGAACCUGAACAAAUUUGUCUCCUUCACAAGACUGUUACAUUGACUUUAAAGUGCUAAUAAGAGAAACAUGGCCAAUCUAGCCUAAAUAUAAAAAGCCCUACACUAAGAACAGGAAAGAAGAUUUGUUUCUCUGCACUACAACUAGUGUUAUGGACAAAUCAAGAUUAUCAUCUGUAUUUCAGGGAUGGGAACAUGUUCAAUAACCUACCUUCUUGACAAGAAGGCCGAUGGGAAAAAAACUAUCAUUUCUGUAUUAGUUUUAAUUUCCUUGGGGGCUGGGGGAACACUCUAAUUCAGUUUAUCACAAUUACAAGCUUUCUACACCAAGAGUAUUUCAGGCUUCUGCUGGUCUUAGCUUCAUCUGCAUUUACGUUCACAGUGAGCUAUUACUAGCAAUAUAUAAAAAUUAAGCCAUUUUCAGAUCUACUGAUAGUUUCCUAAACAUGUCCAAUGCAAGAGUUACCUGGGGGUGAUUACCAAAAACAGGUUUUUCAGACCCCAUACCAGAUCUACUUACAGAAUCUUCAGGGAGAAAUCUAGGAUUCUGAAUUUUUAUCAGCACCCUGGGUAAUUUUGACACCCAGGUCAAGUAUCGGACAUUCCUAUAGCCAGAGCAACUCAUUCCAGGGGAGGACAGUAAAUUAGAAAUUCACAGAUUAGGUCCAUUAGUCACCUGCUUCCUUACUCAGCCUACUUCAGCAUGAAUAUAUUAGCAUAAUGCCCGCUAGCAUUCCUGAAGGCCUGUGUGCUAUAUUCUGUACUAAGUACAAACAAUAAUCUUUCGGGGUGUAUACUAGUUUUAUUCCAGUUCCACAGACAGGGAAACAACUGUCAUUUAUUGGAGUUCACACAGUAUGUGAGUGGCUGCUGCUUCAAAAUAAGAUGCUUGUUGGCAGCAAGCUGCCACCUACAACACUAUGCGAUUCCAGCACCAACCAAGAGAAAAGUAAACACAUGGCAAGAGUUGAAAUGGAAAGUUGAGAUCUUCUGUUGACCAGUGUGGCUUUCUUAAUUUCAAUUCUUUUUCUUGGUUAAAACUAAAACUAAAGAGUAAAAACUCUUUUGCAUACUGGAACAUCACAUAAUUGCUUAAGGAUCCUAAACACAGUGGGGCUGCGGACAUCAUCUGAGAUGCUGCUACUGAUUAACCCCUGAAUAGUCAGUUCAGUGACUGGGUUUUUAUUUUGUUGGGAGGGACAGUAGGAUAACUCAGAUUAACCAUCAGAACAUUUAUCUUAAACUAAAACCACAAGAAUGACAUCUCAUUGAUGCUAACAGUUCAAAUCUCAAAACUAUAAAAUUGGCAAACAAGCAUAAAUUCUGUUAACAUUUUGUUGUGGCACUGUAAGUAUAUUCAAAAUCUGCAAGACGGGUUCCCAUUAUGACAAUUAUAUCAAGACUAGAGAAUAUUAGAAGUUUUCUUUAUUACUCACAUACCUGCAUUGUCAGAUUUAGAAAAAAGGACUUUCAUGAGCCAAUAAAUGGCUUCAUAAGAAAAUGUCAUCGGGAUCUGUUGAACAGUGAUGACCAUGUCUUAUGAUAUACAAAAAUCUACACACAAUUUAUGGCCCAAUACAUACAUAUGUUCUCUAUAUAUUAUAUCCUAGAGAAAUUAAUCACACACAUGUAUCAAGAGACAUACAAGAAAUGUUAAUGGUAGCAUCAUUAGGAACAGCACUCUAAAUGUCCAAAAAGAGAAUGGGUAAGUCAACUGUGAUAUAUUCAUACAGUGAAUACUAAAUAGUAAAAAAUGAAUGAACUAAAGCCAUACUUAUCAACGAGAAUAAAACUUGAAAUGUUGAAAAAAGUUACAAAUGAUUACCUUCUAUGUAACAGCAAUUAAUAUUAAAACAUGCUUGUUUACAGAUAUGUAACAAAUGCAGUAAAAAUAUAAAUACAUACACAGGAAUACCAAUAUCAAAUACCAAAUUCAAGACAGCUUUGGAGUGGAGAGGGAAAAGGAAGGGGAACAGAGUUGAAGCCAUGGGUGUUCCCCCUCACAUAUUUUUGUCACAUUUCAUUUCUUAAGAAUGGUGGUAAAUACCUGAGUGAUAUACUCUUAAAAUUUUGUAUAACUGAGGGGUACCUGGGUGGCUCAGUUAGUUAAGAGGUUAAGUGGUUAAGCUUAAGUGUCCAACUCUUGAUUUCGGCGCAGGUCAUGAUCUCACAGUUUGUGAGUUCGACCCCCAUACUGAGCUCCAUGCUGACAGUGCUCACACUCUCUCUCUCUCUCUCUCUCUGCCUCUCCCCUGCUCACACACUCAGGCUCUCUCUCUCUCUCAAAAUAAACUUAAAAAACAUUUUUUUGUGUUACUGAAAUUCAAAAACACAACCAAAAAUAGAAUUAAGUACACAAAGGCUAGUGAUGUUUUAAACAACAAGCUAACAAUUACUUGAAUCUUAAAAUGUGAUGCUAUCCCCAAUGCUGGUAACUUUAAGGAUACUUUAAGACCCCACAGCCUGCAUUAUUAGGUUGAAAUAUCUGAAACUGCUGGGUUAUAGGUCAAAAAGUCAAAUAUUAACAAUUCCAUGUGGUUUAAACUAAUAUUAAAACUCUCUCUAUAAAAAACAAAAGUUAAAUUUUGAUGUGUUCUCCAAGAAUUUACUAUGCAGUGGUCUACAUUUUAAUGGAAAGACUAAGAAACAAGGAAAUAAAACGGAAAUAGAAUGGACCAUUUGUCAAUGGAUAAAAUAUGAAGAUAAAUUUCCCAGUAUACAGAACAAAUAUAUAACUUAGAAACACAUAUUGCACAAAAUGUGGUCAACCUACUGUCCUUUGAUAUAAAAUAUUACUGCUUAAUUUUUAAAAGUACUUACACAUAAUAAAUCCUUAAAAGAUCCUUGUUGAGCAAAGCAAGUCUUUAUACAUAUAAAAAUUGAAGUCCAGAGGAGAAACACCUUGUCCAAGGUCAAGGUCAAAUAGUUAGCAGUCUAAACCUACUUAAAACUAAAUCUAGGUCCUGCUCCAAAAUUAGUCACUAUAAAUUAAUCAGAAGUUCAACCAGAGAUUUUUAUUUUGUUCCAAUCAAAGAUUAUGAAAGGAAGAAUUAAGGACAAAUGAUCUGUGGAGUUCUGUCUUCUUUUUUAUUUCUUAACAAUUUCAGUAUAACAAGUUCUAAGCCCAUUAUUAUUUUUGCAAAACUCAUUUGCCAUAAACAUAUUUUAGGUAGUGAUUUACAGGAUUAGCUCAUAAAAGCCAAGGCUAUUUAUAAUUUAACUAUAAAACUAUAUUCCUUCUGUAGACUACAAAAGUAGUCUCUCCAUCCCCUCACCCUCUUUUCUCAAACUUAAGAACUAGUGCUUUAAGAAAAAGGUUUAAAUGAGAAAGAAUGCUGAAAAAGUACUGAGGAACACACUGCAGGACAGUUGGAGUUGGAGGGAAGGUUUUUAAAAGUAAGCCAAUGUUUUUUUUUAGUGAAUAAAUAUCACUCUUCAGAAUUAUUAUAGAGCCCAGACAAAUUAUGCAAGACAGGGAUAGAGAUUUUCCUGAGAUACGAGAAGCAGAAACUGAAAGAAAAGGGUUGGAAAAGACAAACAUGAGAACUACUGGAGAGGAAUGGACAGGGACAGGGACACUGGCACCCCUAGAAGCAGAAGAAACAGUGCAGCCCUUCUUAGGAACAGCCCCAGGGGGCAGGUGUAAUCAGCUCCCUCCCCGUACUGCAAGGUUGCUAUACAGAUUAAGUGAGGGAAACCCUUGGAGAAGGGGAGGGUGGGGGAGUAUUAAGGUCAUCUGAGUAGUUAACGUAUGUUAAGCAUUUUAUUUUUUAUUUUUUCAACGUUUAUUUAUUUUUGGGACAGAGAGAGACAGAGCAUGAACGGGGGAGGGGCAGAGAGAGAGGGAGACAUAGAAUCUGAAACAGGCUCCAGGCUCUGAGCCAUCAGCCCAGAGCCCAAUGCGGGGCUCGAACUCACGGACCGCGAGAUCGUGACCUGGCUGAAGUCGGACGCUUAACCGACUGCGCCACCCAGGCGCCCCUAAGCAUUUUUAACCCAAGAAAUAGGUAUACUGAAAUCUACCUGUGCCUACAAUUAAUUCUCAUUUUUGCUUCCUUCAUAUUAGGAAAGAUGAAUGACAGACACGCUACCCACAUCGCCUCUUCAGUUGUAAAGGGAACCCUGGAUAGUCACAAUCAUCGAAAGCCAGAUGUCUCUAGUUGGCCUGCUCUCCUCAGCAAGGUCCACUACAAGGAAAACAGCUGCCAGGACACAUGCACAGUACACCGUUAGAGAAGGGGGAGGGGAGGGAGACCAACCUGCCUCCGCAUUCAGCUCCUCUAGAAGCCCGCUGGUCCUCCAGGUAGCUCCUGUGUCCUGGCCUCCUACAGAAUUACUGUGCUCUUGAACUACCGCAGCCGCCAAUAAAUUGUCCACAUUUACCACUUCUGGGUCAGAGCUGGUGUCAGACAUAUCAUAAUGAGCUACAACUGGAGGUCCAUCUAG
This 25388-nucleotide long non-coding RNA is filed under the name Lynx pardinus (Iberian lynx). The stretch from base 14424 to 14508 matches the Rfam family "tRNA". Lineage: Eukaryota; Metazoa; Chordata; Mammalia; Carnivora; Felidae. The record is from RNAcentral.